Molecule: non-coding RNA, 95 nt
Organism: Collariella sp. IMI 366227
Lineage: Eukaryota; Fungi; Ascomycota; Sordariomycetes; Sordariales; Chaetomiaceae
Source: the annotation of a GenBank genome assembly
GCCCGAUUAGCUCAGCUGGUUAGAGCGUCGUACUAAUAUAGCACCUGCUAUACUAAGUAAUGCGAAGGUCAACAGUUCAAUCCUGUUAUUGGGCA